GACGAACGCUGGCGGCGUGCUUAACACAUGCAGGUCGAACGGAAAGGCCCUGCCUUUGUUGGGUGCUCGAGUGGCGAACGGGUGAGUAACACGUGAGUAACCUGCCCUUGACUUUGGGAUAACUUCGGGAAACUGGGGCUAAUACCGGAUAGGACCUCCUGCUGCAUGGUGGGGGUGGGAAAGUUUCGGCGGUUGGGGAGGGGCUCGCGGCUUAUCAGCUUGUUGGUGGGGUAGUGGCUUACCAAGGCUUUGACGGGUAGCCGGCCUGAGAGGGUGACCGGCCACAUUGGGACUGAGAUACGGCCCAGACUCCUACGGGAGGCAGCAGUGGGGAAUAUUGCACAAUGGGCGGAAGCCUGAUGCAGCAACGCCGCGUGCGGGAUGACGGCCUUCGGGUUGUAAACCGCUUUCGCCUGUGACGAAGCGUGAGUGACGGUAAUGGGUAAAGAAGCACCGGCUAACUACGUG
Molecule: ribosomal RNA, 468 nt
Filed under: uncultured bacterium
Lineage: Bacteria
Description: partial 16S ribosomal RNA
Rfam family: Bacterial small subunit ribosomal RNA
Source: RNAcentral